Molecule: ribosomal RNA, 315 nt
Filed under: uncultured eukaryote
Lineage: Eukaryota
Description: partial 18S ribosomal RNA
Rfam family: Eukaryotic small subunit ribosomal RNA
Source: RNAcentral
CCCUUAGAUGUCCUGGGCCGCACGCGCGCUACACUGACCAGUGCAACAAGCAUCCGUCCUUGGCCGACAGGCCCGGGCAAUCUUUGAACGCUGGUCGUGAUGGGGAUAGACUUUUGCAAUUUUUGGUCUUCAACGAGGAAUUCCUAGUAAACGCAAGUCAUCAACUUGCAUUGAUUACGUCCCUGCCCUUUGUACACACCGCCCGUCGCACCUACCGAUUGAAUGGUCCGGUGAAGCCUCCGGAUUGGCGCGCACCUCGGUGCCGCCGAGAAGUUGGCUAAACCUUACCAUUUAGAGGAAGGUGAAGUCGUANCA